GGGGUCUCCACCUCUUUGACCCAGUCAUGUGACCCAGUCAUGUGACCCAGUCAUGUGACUGAGGUAGGCUAUAGGAGCAGGGAUGUAACCAAGUCAUCAGGUGGGAGAGGGUCAUUUCUCCUCAAAGAGUGGACUUCUUGGCUUCCCUCUUUCACUCUGGAGCAUUCUCUUGGCUGCUGCUUCCUGUUUAGGCCGUGUUGGAGUUCAGAGGUUGUACUGAUCGCCCACAGAGCCAAGAGCUUCUCACUCUCUGUCUCUCUCUCUCUCUCUCUCUCUCUCUCUCUCUCUCUCUCUCUCUCUCGCUCUCUCUCUCUCUGUCUCUGUCUCUGUCUCUGUCUCUCUCUCUGCAAACAAUAUCCUCCUCACCCAUGCCAAGUGGUGCCGGCUCAUUGCUCCGGCCAAGAAGUGUCGCGUCAGCAGAAAAAGUGCAAUAACAAACUUGUGAAAACACUCCAGGAGGGACUACUUUCCGCCAUCUGAGUUGCUGAGGCGCAAACAUCCAAUUCAUCCGAUUCUCGGGGCCAUCCUGACAGAGACGGGGAGAAUCUAUACCGCCUGCAAACACCCCACCCCACCCCAC
Molecule: long non-coding RNA, 580 nt
Organism: Clupea harengus (Atlantic herring)
Lineage: Eukaryota; Metazoa; Chordata; Actinopteri; Clupeiformes; Clupeidae
Source: Ensembl